GGUGAAUCAUCGAAUCUUUGAACGCACAUUGCGCCCCCUGGCAUUCCUAGGGGCAUGCCUGUUCGAGCGUCAUUAACAACCAUCCGGCGCGAUCUUGCGGUCGUGCCUGGUCAUGGGGGAUGGCCACCUUCGGGUGCCCACCCCCGAAAUGCAACGGCGGACGACCCCCGUCGGCGCACGCAGCGUAGUAGGUAAUCCCCUCGCGCGUGCCCACGGAGGGACUGACUGGCCGGUUGAACCCCCACGUCCUGCGGUUGACCUCGGAUCAGGUAGGGAUACCCGCUGAACUUAA
RNAcentral lists this unclassified non-coding RNA (292 nucleotides) under uncultured Ascomycota. RNAcentral describes it as "sequence contains ITS1". The stretch from base 1 to 72 matches the Rfam family "5.8S ribosomal RNA", at positions 83 to 154 of the family's 154-position model. Lineage: Eukaryota; Fungi; Ascomycota. The record is from RNAcentral.